AGAGGGUGCAAGCGUUGCUCGGAAUUAUUGGGCGUAAAGGGUAGGUAGGUGGUCUCAUUUGUGUGGGGUGAAAGCCUUGGGCUUAACUCAAGAAGUGCCCCGCAAACGGUGAGACUGGAGUGCUGGAGAGGCUAGCGGAAUUCCCGGUGUAGCGGUGAAAUGCGUAGAGAUCGGGAGGAACACCAGAGGCGAAGGCGGCUAGCUGGACAGUGACUGACACUCAACUACGAAAGCGUGGGGAGCAAACAGG
RNAcentral lists this ribosomal RNA (250 nucleotides) under uncultured bacterium. Its description in RNAcentral is "partial 16S ribosomal RNA". It matches the Rfam family "Bacterial small subunit ribosomal RNA", at positions 527 to 776 of the family's 1533-position model. The record is from RNAcentral.